GUCUAUGGCCAUAGCACUCUGAACGCACCAGAUCUCGUCUGAUAUAGGAAGCUAAGCAGAGUCAGGCCUGAUGAGUACCUGGAUGGGGAAAGCCUGAAGUGAUGGAAGCCACGGGCU
RNAcentral lists this ribosomal RNA (117 nucleotides) under Vulpes vulpes (red fox). The record is from RNAcentral. Lineage: Eukaryota; Metazoa; Chordata; Mammalia; Carnivora; Canidae.